This 433-nucleotide ribosomal RNA is filed under the name uncultured bacterium. RNAcentral's name for it is "partial 16S ribosomal RNA". It matches the Rfam family "Bacterial small subunit ribosomal RNA", at positions 29 to 507 of the family's 1533-position model. The record is from RNAcentral.
AACGAACGCUGGCGGCAUGCCUAACACAUGCAAGUCGAACGAAGUCUUCGGACUUAGUGGCGCACGGGUGCGUAACGCGUGGGAAUCUGCCCUUGGGUACGGAAUAACUCAGAGAAAUUUGUGCUAAUACCGUAUAAUGUCUUCGGACCAAAGAUUUAUCGCCCAAGGAUGAGCCCGCGUAAGAUUAGCUAGUUGGUGGGGUAAAAGCCUACCAAGGCGACGAUCUUUAGCUGGUCUGAGAGGAUGAUCAGCCACACUGGGACUGAGACACGGCCCAGACUCCUACGGGAGGCAGCAGUGGGGAAUAUUGGACAAUGGGCGAAAGCCUGAUCCAGCAAUGCCGCGUAAGUGAUGAAGGCCCUAGGGUUGUAAAGCUCUUUUACCAGGGAUGAUAAUGACAGUACCUGGAGAAUAAGCUCCGGCUAACUCCGUG